Otolemur garnettii (small-eared galago) is the source of this 286-nucleotide non-coding RNA. NCBI's taxonomy places the organism in Eukaryota, Metazoa, Chordata, Mammalia, Primates, Galagidae. The record is from Rfam.
GCUGGGUGUAGUGGUGGCUGCUGUAGUCCCAGCUACUAGGGAGGCUGGGGUGGAGGAUUGCUUGAGCUCAGGAGUUCUGGGUUGCAGUUCGCUAUGCCAAUCGGUGUUCACAUUAAGUUCAGCAUCAGUAUUGUGACCUCCCAGGAACAAAGGACCACCUAAGGAGGGAUGAACCAGCCCAGGUCAGAAACAGAGCAGGUCAAAACCUCUGUGCUCAUCAGUAGCAGGUUGUGCCUGCAAAUAGCAUUACUCUCCAGCCAGGGCAACGCGGGAGACCUGUCUCUAA